RNAcentral lists this long non-coding RNA (1982 nucleotides) under Xyrichtys novacula (pearly razorfish). Lineage: Eukaryota; Metazoa; Chordata; Actinopteri; Labriformes; Labridae. The record is from RNAcentral.
GUUGUGGGUGGUGCAGUUGUCGUUGCGGCUGGUGUAGCAUUUGUAGUCAUUGAAACAGUUGUUGGUGUGGUUGGGGCAGCUGUAGUUAAGGUGGAGGCAGUAGUUAUGGUGUGGGUGGCUGUAGUUGUGGUUUGGCUAACUGUAGUUGUGGUUGGAGAAGCUGUAGUUGUAGCAGCAGUAGUAGUUUUGCCAGCUGUUGUGGUAGCUUGGGCAGCUUUAGUUGUUGUUAGAGAAGCUUUAAUGGUAGCUUGAGCAGCUUUUAUGGGGGAUGGAGUAGCCUUUGUGUGGGUUGCAGCAGUUGUUAUGGUGGUUGGUUUUUCUUGAGUUGUGGCCUGGCCAGCUUUACCCGUAGUUGUAGUUGAAGUUGUCGUAGUUACGGCAGUCGCACUUGUUUGUUGGGCAGCUGUUGUUUUUCUCGUUGUGAUAGAUGUUGCUAUUAUUGUUGUUGUUGCUGAGGAGACUUUUUCAAAGUGAAACAGGAAAAAUAAUUAUUUGAAUUAGAAUUGUAGUAUUAACAAUAUUCAACCUAUGUUUAAUUUUUCCUUACAUCAUUCAUAUUAGAGGUCACAUUUUUUUCUGAAUUUGAUAUGUCUCAAGCAGUCAUUUUUUGUAUUUUUUUUACCUCAGUAGAGGUAAAGUAAAUUUCAACCUGGUGCUUCUGAAGAGUGAUUCACUUAUUAUAAACAAAAUAUCUGAGGUCAUCAUAUUAAUGUUUGAUGACGAUUUUUGUGCAUGCUCUUUUUUUUGCCUUUUCCCUGAACAUAAUCCAUGGAUAUUAUUCAUAACUGCUUUUUCAAAGAAAGAUAAACAGUAUAUCAAAUAAAUUAGUUUUUUUUUAAUUUCAUGUCACCCAUUUCAUUGAUUUGACUCAGCUAACUAAAAGGGCCUCAAAUCUCAUCAACCAAGCUUUAUUAUUUGUAUGGAUUUGUGGUUAGAAACCAUGCCCUCUGUGAAAGAGUUUUCAGACCACAAAGCAGGAAGCCAUGGGUUCAUCUAUGGUCUCCGCCUAUCACCCCCAACCUCCUCCUUGUGUUUUUCUCUUUCCACUGUCCCAUCCUCAGACAACCCAAUAGACAAGUCUUUAGAAAAAAUGCCGUUCUCUUACCAGCAAGAAUCACAAAAAGUGAUGUGAUCCCUCUGACAGCCAUCUUGAAGGUCUAUCUAAAACGAUGGAAAAAAAUGAAUCAAAGAAAAAUGAUGUUUGUACCAAAGUUAUUCAUCACUUAAAUAAGUAAUAAUGAUAUAACAAAAUGGGAGAUAGAUGAACAAAUAAUAGGCCUACUAGACACUAUUUAAGUGUGAAUUCAUUGGUAUUUUGCUUUUGGACACUUUCAUUUAGAAAAUGAUCAAACAAAUGUUUUGGGUAUAAACUUUUGAUUAUCCAAAUGACUGAACUCAUUAAAGCUUUAAAAUACAUUAAAGUACUGCAAAACUUAGCAUGUAUUUGUCCCUUAGCCUCUUUGAAUUUUUUUAGAUAUAAACUUCUCAACAAGUUGAUAUUUAGACAUUUCAAAGGUAACAUAAAAACAAACAAAAAGUGUCUUUAUGGCAUUUAGAACUUAAGUAAGAGGGGGUUAAGUCAUCAUGGAUGACUAAAUUUGAAUUUCUAAUUUUUAUUGUCUGAUAAACAGAACAUUUUUAAUGAAGUUCAUACAAGUUAGAGAAUAGAACAGUAAAGACAAAAGUAAAGAAAGGAGGCAACACAGGAUCUCAGGUCACAUAUUAUUGCCUGACAAUUUAAACUUUUUUUUAUAUCUAAAAACAUAAAUCUUUUCAUCACUCUCUGAAAACCUGUUUGUAUCUUUUUCUGUCUUUAGUUACUUAUGACUUGAGAUUUAUUUGCAUGUAAAAUCACACUUCAUACAUUAAGUAAGGUACACUCAGGCUUGGAUAGUUGUGGCAUCUGUUAAACAGCUUAUAGAUGUAUCAGGGUCUGUAAUAAAUCAUAUAUUUUAGUCCAUUCUCAUGUUCACAAGCAACAA